ACUCUUGAUUGAGUUCAGCUGCACUGCACACACAAGCCUAUGGUUGAGAACUGCAAGGCAAAUGCAGAGAGGAAGCUAUUCUUUCUGGCUGCGUAAAGAAUUCUUGAGCAAGUAAAACUAUUUUUUUAUUCUUACAUCUUCUUUAACAAGUGGUGUGAGCACUUUUUUGUUGUAAUUUCCCAUCACAGGAGAACCCCUGUUAAGUUCUACUCCUUGUUUUGAGUAUAGAAAGAAAAAAAUCUUGUGGAAUUUGUUUUCUGAGAUGCACUCUGAACUCCUCCCAUCUGAAAUAAGCAUAACUAACCAGUGAGAAACUGCCCCACUGGGCCUUCUGAUUUGUAUUGCUGUGGUUGACUAAAGUCUUUAAAGACUUUUUCUAGCACAGGGGAGAUGUGAUAUAUUGAUUGAAUCUGAAAAUCCUCAGAUAUUAUCACUGCACUCCAUCUUGUGGAAGAGGCAACAAUAUAUUUUAAAAUGAUCCUGUAGUGGGAUUUUUGAGUAAUUAAACCCAACAAUGCCUGGUUCUUGCUGCCAAAGCAAGGAACUACCUACAGCAGUGGUUACAAGCAGUUGUUUAAUUCUCAAUCUGCCUAAUUGUACCCAGUGGAUUUGUAUAAAUGUCCCUUGGGUUUUAGGUAUGAGCUUCACAUCUCUUUGUUUAGGAAAGGAGCUUUAGGAAAGCAUCUGAAGAGUGAUUUGAAAGGAGAAACUAAAGCUUUCUAGAACUGCACCCUCUUGCAGUAGUAGCAGUGUGAUGUGGCAUGGAAGAGCAGUGCUAAAUGAAGCACUGGCCUUUUUAGUUUCAUUUACCAGAGAGGGGCUUGGACAACAAAGUGGUCAACUUGCUGAUUGCUGGUGUGCUUUACUGCUCCAAACUGUGCCAAAUCCAGUAAGGUAGAAUUGAUCAGCUUUAAGAAACGCCUCAGUGCAAAGAAAGCCUUGAAGAUGGAGCACCUCUUUCUGUCUACUUUUGUAACAGUGGAGACAGGUCUCAUUAAUUCUUGAGAUAAUACUAAGAGCAGGGUAUCUUUAUGGACUACAGUGUUUGUUAGCCUUUUCCAGACUCCUUGGUCAUUUUCGUAGGGCAAUGACUCAUCACUUCAUUACUGCACUGAUUACAUUAAGACGUUAGUAUCUUUACAAUACAAGUAACAUAAUGCUUAUGCUAAUUCACUUUAUGCGCAACUGUCAGAAUACUCGUCAACUGGAAGUAUCUUACAUGAGCAUUUCAGAAUUAUUUAGACUUUCCUGAUUAUUCAUAUUUAUGAUAUUUAACUCUAUUCAGUGAUGAUUUUGUGUAUAGCAUGUAAAAACUCAGAACAAAUUGUCAGAACUUUUUGUGCAACCAUUAGAUUUGUUUGAAGGGAAAUUAGAAUAUAACAUGACUGCUCUUCAGUUUUUGCUAGAAUCCAGCCUCACAGAUUUUUUACAGAAUAGGGCAAAGGCUAAUGUUGGGGUGGGGGUAGCAAGGAAGACUUACUCAAAAGGAAAAGUCUGCUUUUGUCGAAACAUUGAGUGUGGUUUUAAAAUGAUGCAGUUUUGUUUUUUUUUUCCUAACAGUAGCAAGAAGACAUGCAGAUGAACAGAACAAAAAUCAGAUGUUAAGCGAUUUUCUGUUUGCGCUUAUUUUACUAAGCAUAAGUACAAGUUAGUUAUAUAAAACCACAAAAGAGUCUUGAAUUUCAAAGUUGCCUCUGAACUCUGUGGUCUGAAGAAAAGGAAGGCUUCAGGAAUGUGGUUUCUAGUAUAUCCAACAUAACCCCCCCACACACCUCUUAUAAUCUUUUUUUGCCUCUUAUUUCUUUGUAAUUGAAUUAAUUUGAAGACAUGGGAAAACACAGCAGAGUAUAACUAUGAAGGGUCAGUACCAAGGUCUUACCUCAGUGGGGUUAUUCAUGUGCUUGAAUUUACACAAGUGCUGUGUUCUGCCCGCAUGUGGAAUGCAAGCAAGCUCACCCCAGUGACUGGAGGGAUUGAAGAAAGACUGGGUGAGUAAGGAUUAUAGUGAAAAAACAGACUGCUAUUUUGAAAUGGAAAUUUAUGACAUUUAGCUGAGAAUUGAUGCAGAAGGCUUGUGAACUGGAACUGAGUUUGAAAUGCAGCAUGAAAAUGCUUUCACACCUUUCUCUAGAAAAAUGAGGUUCUCUAGAGCUGUUUUUGCAGUGGAGUAAAUAACAACUAGUCAUUUCCUCACAGAUUCAGCACUUUGUAUUCUAUCCUGGUUUUGUUCUGAGAGGAAGAGAAAGAAGGAGAAAACAUUUGAACAAAAUUUGUGUCAAAGUAAAUAUGAGAUCAUUUAUUACGUAAUUUCAGGUAUUGACAUGCAUUUGGUGUCUCUUGUCUUCUCUUUUGGCCAUCUGACUGUUACCAGAGUUAUUCCUCUUUUACUUCUCAUAGGAAAACUGAAAAGAUGGUCAACAAACCUCAUAAAUCCACCUUCCUCUCAAAGGGUAUUUGCUGCUUCAGUUGCUAAUGUUUGCCUUUGAAGCAAGAUAAACCAAAGCUGUGUUGCAUCUGUGCGCAUCCACAUUGCCAUGGGGA
Pezoporus flaviventris is the source of this 2541-nucleotide long non-coding RNA. RefSeq lists it as uncharacterized. Lineage: Eukaryota; Metazoa; Chordata; Aves; Psittaciformes; Psittacidae. The transcript has 2 exons. The record is from RefSeq and is a predicted model, not a curated record.